AGUAUCGCGAGAUCAGGAAGGUGGCCGAGUGUGUCGCCGCGGCCAUCAGGCACUUCUCCUUCCUGCCCUUGUAUGAAGAAGGAUGUGUUUGCUUCCCCUUGUGCCAUGAUUGUAAAUUUCCUGAGGCCUCCUCAGCCCUGCAGAACUGGGGUUAUAGCCAUGUGACUGAUCUUCGUCCAAGAAUAUGUAAAGAAAAAGUGUUGAGUUGGCUUUUAGGGCUAGAGCAAUGUAUCUUAGGCUCACUUAAGGAAGCUGUAGAGAUGAGCCCAAGGAGGGAAACCAGAAGAGCCCCCCAGGCUCACCAGUUGUUUGUUGGCUCCCUACAAACAUGUCAUUCAAGUGGCUAAUCUUACAACAGCACAAAUUCAUCUAACCAGUCACAUAUACUGAAGGGA
RNAcentral lists this long non-coding RNA (395 nucleotides) under Homo sapiens (human). Its description in RNAcentral is "non-protein coding BDNF-AS:31". Lineage: Eukaryota; Metazoa; Chordata; Mammalia; Primates; Hominidae. The record is from RNAcentral.